Molecule: long non-coding RNA, 2663 nt
Organism: Mustela lutreola (European mink)
Lineage: Eukaryota; Metazoa; Chordata; Mammalia; Carnivora; Mustelidae
Exons: 3
Source: RefSeq, a predicted model, not a curated record
CCACCCCUGACCCCCCCCCGCCCCCCGCAUUUCAAAGCGCGGAAGUUCAGACGUGUAUCUCCCCUUCUCUCGCGGGGCGGCACCGGGGAGACGAGGAGGGAGGAAGUGGGGCCACUGGGGUGGAUUUAGAGCAGGACCCAAGAGGCCCGGAGGGAUUCACGUGAAAGGUUCUGUCUCCAAGGCAUCAGGAACAGUGGCUUUAACUCCAAUAACUGGCCGAGCAGAAAGGGACCCUCUGCCCACAUCCCGCCCGCGCGCCCGCCCGCCCGGGAGAGCCACCGCCGCCGCCGCCGCCGCCGCCGCCGCCGCUCGGCUCCAAGGGAUCCCGCCGGACCUGCCCCUUCCACUGCGGCUCACUCUGCCCUGCCUGGCGCCAGUCCUGGAUCGCCGGUUUCCUAUUUAUACCACACUGGGCUCCUCUUGACUCACUUUACCAUCCUGUUCCAGGCUGGCGACUUCGCUGCUGAGCUGAAACUGCUAAUUUCUGUGACCAGCUUUUUUCUUAGCUGUGAUCUGGAUGAAUGAGUAGCUGUCUCACAGAGAUGACAAAAAUAAACUCUAAUCCCCCCCAAAAUUUCCACUACAUCUUUCUCAUGCAUAGAUUUAUGAUCUUCAAGCGCUCUGUGCAAUAUGCAAACUUUUUUUUUGUGUCUGUAUAUAUGCUGUUGUUUCCAGAUUUCACUACAUUGGUAUGCUGCUUCCUCCCCCCCACACCAUGAAAUGCAGAAAACGCCUGAUCUCAAAGUAUGCCAAGAUGCCACUUUCUAGUGUCUUGGUAUUUGGGGUUUGAGUUUAAUUUGGAAGACAGUAGCCCUUGCCUAAAAGGUGAGUGGCUGAGUGUGCAAACUGGGGGUGGGGGAAUUAGAGCUGGUAGAGGGACCAGAGGACAGCCCUUUGCUUUACAUUUGUUUCCCUGCACUACUCAAGCCUUAUGAUCUUGUUGGAAAAUAUAUUUUCUCUAUCAUUUUGUCUGGUUAAACAACCAUCUCCAAACUUCUGUGUCAGCUCUUCAACAGAUAAGGGUUCAGAAGUCGUAUUUUUAUUUAAUUGAAAGAUGAUCAUAUUGUUAGCUUUGUCUUUCAAUUAAGAGUCUUUGAUUUGCAGGAGCCAGAAUCAAGUGCUAGGAAAUCCAGCUGCAAUUUCACAAAUGUCACCUUUAAACUUUGGACUUCAUCUGAUAUAGAAGGAUGACCACAUAAAGCUCACGUUUUUGACCCUGCUUAGCAUGCAAAAUGACCUCCCAAACGUUCUGGAAUUUUCACUGUACCAGAGAUUCAUGUGCAUUUUGGUAGAGGACAUGUUCUCUGGACUUAUCUCAUGAUGUAUUGCGCCCUUACAUUUAUAGCCCUACAUUUCGGUUGUCAAUGGGGGUUGGAGGUGUCCAAGAAAGAAAGAAAGAAAGAAAGCAAAAAAGGGAAGACAUGCCCUUGAAUAAAAUGAACAUGAAAGAAAGCUGGACAUGAGUUAAAUUGAAUUUUCUUUGCUAUUAAAUAUAUGAAUAUGAUUCAUUUUAAUUUAUAUGUGCUCUGAUCAGUAAACUUAUUAAUAUACACAUCAGGACACCACUGAAAGGCUGUCUUCGCAUCUUCCCUUUUGAUUUGGGAGAUAUGGAAAGACACCUGCUUAAGAGAGGGGCAGAAAACUGAAAAUUCUUUGGUUUAGAAAUAGGGAUUUCCCCACUUAGAAUAAUAAACAUUAACAUGCAUGUGGGAUAUUUGCUCUUAAAUAAAUGAAGAAGGAUUGAACUGAAACAUUUACUCUUCACAAAGGCCCUUCUCUAUCAAGGUCCUAGGUUAUCUGAGAGUAAGAUACUUUAUUCAGAUCUUGCAGAGAUGCUGCAUUUCACAUUUCAUAUUUAUAACACAAAGCUCAAAUACAUGGUAAAAUAAUAGAAAAGGAUUUAUUUUUUAUUUAUUUAUUUAUUUUUUUUAGAGCAGGGAAAAGAAAGGGAACAGAUUAUCCAAAUCUUCUGGCCCUACUAUUUGUUUUGAAUUUUUUCUUCUUUGAAUUUUCCUUUCUUAUUUAGGUCUUGAACAGGAAGAUUGUGUAAUUGUGACAUAGUGUCUUUUGAAGGGGUUCUGUGCAUUAGCAAUGAAAGCUAUCAAGUACAUGCAGUAUCACCAAAUUCUCGUACACUAACUAUAUAAUUUGUAUAAUAUGCCUUUGAUGUUUACCUAUUAUGAGCUUCCAGUGAAGUAUUUGGAACUAAAUCCAAAGAUGAAUAAGAGUAUUGAUCUCUUAAACUAUUGCCAUCUUUCCAAGUUCUCAUAAAGGAAGUAAGAUGUGUUUUGAGAUCUCAAAAUAACUUGAUUUUGAAUUUCUAUUUUUUUUUUUUACUAAUAGGCUAUAUUGAUCACUAAUUACGAUUACAAGGAUCUUUGUUGCUCCCAAACAACAUGAAAUGCACAUUUUAAGAAUUUUAACUAUAAUUUUGAAGCUUAUUUAACAAUGAGAGUGGAAGGGGAAGAGAAGGGUUGGGUUGGGGUCUUGCAAUUCUAAAACAGCUGUUGAAAGGAAGUGGCUAGGCUGUUUCUUCUGGAUUUUAAAGUUACACUGCAUGAGAAUGUUUAAGAUUUCAGAGAAAAAAUGACAAUUACGGCUGUUUUGAAAGCAACUAAAAAUAACAUUGAUGAUUAAAAAUCCCUUCAUAAUCUAUGUGUAAA